This 188-nucleotide small RNA is filed under the name Enterobacter cloacae. Its description in RNAcentral is "Gammaproteobacterial sRNA STnc100". It matches the Rfam family "Gammaproteobacterial sRNA STnc100". The record is from RNAcentral. Lineage: Bacteria; Pseudomonadati; Pseudomonadota; Gammaproteobacteria; Enterobacterales; Enterobacteriaceae.
UUCAUGUGUUACAGUUAAAUCGUGGUGAAUCCCCCUAAGCGGCGGGGCUAAUUAACCUGACGACUCUUCUACAUUGGGGCAUCGUGAAUUUCUGGAGCAAGCGGGUCAAGGUUGGUUAACCAAAAGGCUCACCGGGAGGCACCCGGCACCACAACCUGUCAGAACCAAAGCUCCCCUGCUGGUGGGCU